This 2391-nucleotide long non-coding RNA is filed under the name Homo sapiens (human). RNAcentral's name for it is "non-protein coding lnc-CALN1-1:16". The record is from RNAcentral. Lineage: Eukaryota; Metazoa; Chordata; Mammalia; Primates; Hominidae.
AGACCGGCAAACCGCAGUCCCUGCCCCGCGGGCUUCCUUUACUUUUUGGGAGUGGGGGGCGGUUUCCCUGCUUUUUCCACCACAGCCCCUCCUCCCGCCGCAAUGUGGCUGAUGCUCAUAAAAAGUUGUAUUAAAGAGCUGACUGCAGCCGAGAAUCGAUCAACAAAAGCGACCAGCCUCUCUGGGUAAAAUAGCUGUGCGUUUUUCAGGGCACUGGAAUUGAUCUAUACGGAUCAGAAAGACCGACAGCCCGCUCUCAGCAGCCUCUUGGAUACGCUUCACUUUCUGUCCAGGCACAUAAACACCACGGCACCAACCCUUCGUCCUCCCUAGUAGCCCAUACUUGUGGAGGAAGAAAAGGAAAAUAAACUGGCAUGUAUUAAUUACAAUGGGCCAGGCACCGUGCUAGAGCGCUGUGUAUAUGAUUUCACCUCUUUAGAAUACAAAUGUGCACAUUUUAUUAGUAUUACUGGAAGGAGGGUGGUAGAGAAAACAGUAAGGACGUGUUUUCUCUCACAAUCUGACACAUCUAUGAUUGAGUGAUUGAUUGUUUUUCAUUUAACAAUUAUUAGGCCUUACCAGGCUUAGCAGGCACAGUUGUAGGUGCUGGGAAUACAGCGUUGUACAAAACAGAAAAGAUACUGCUUCUUGACGUUCUAGCAGGCAAGCCUCUCUCGUCUUAUAAUUCCUAAUAACAAUUUAAUAGCUUGUCUUUCUCUUGUUUUAGGUCACACUCCUUCAGCUUCCCCGUUUCUGAAUCCCAGGUCUAUCCACGGCCUUCUCAACAGAUGACUUCAAGUUGAUUUCGUGCUUUAUUUCUUAAGAAUAGUGACUAACCUAAGGGAUCUGAUUCAAUUUAUUAGGAACACAGUGCCACCUUCCAAAAUUACUUACCUAAGAGGACUGAGCCUGCUGUCCCUGGAGCAGUUAGCUAAAACAGUGCCUCAGUACGGAGCGUACCUGUGUUAACUUCUAGAGUGCUGUUUCCGGCAGCUGCUGAAAUCCACGCUGAGGUUAUCAAGCUCAUCCUACAAAAUAAAGCAAGUUCUUCGCAAUUUAAAGCAAAAAUCUGGGCUUAUUUUUAGGGUUUUGGGGGAUGUGAAAGUUGUCUUAGAUAAGAUUCCAGGAAAGCUAAGAACUAACGAUGCAAUUACAGUCACCUUUCAACAACUUUGGGGAUUGGGUUGAGGAAGGUGUGAAAUUGGGAAAUAUAAUAAAAGGUAUUAUAUUAGUGACUUUCUAGAGUAGCCCUUGGCAGUCCUGUCUUUAAAGAGUAAUAACUGGAAAAAAAAAUGAAUGAUAAUACACUGCAUCCAAGAACCUUGCCUCUGGUGAGGGUAAUUUGCAAACGCAUUUUGGGAUAAUGUUCAGCAUUCAAUAUAAUCUUCCCUGGAAUUAGCAAUGCCUUUUGGGUCAGAGUUUCUUAGGUUUCUUCAGUCAUACAAUUAAAAUUGUUUCUGGAUUAUAUUGCCCAUAUUUGUUUCUAAUUCUCCAUUUUGCCUGUGUUUUAACUGCUAGCGAUUAAUAACUGCCAUAUAAUAAGCUAAGCAUUUAUUAUGUUUCAGGCACUGUUCUAACUGCAUUAAAAUAAUAUCUCAUUUAAUUCUCAUAAAUUUUGAGAAAAGUUUUAUUAUUCCUAUUUUACAGUUGAGUAAACUGAGGCUUAAAGUUAAGCAUAUUGUCCAAGGUGCCUCCACUCCUUAGUCAUAAGCUAAAUUUGAUCUGAGUGACUCCAAAACCUGUUCUCUUAAUGGUUAUGCUGAAAUGCCCUUCUUAGAAUGAUUCCUCAGGAAGUCAAAUGCUAGGUAUAUAGUACAACCACUUUGGAAAACUGGCAAUAUCUGUUAAAGUUAAACAUAUGAAAACCCUAUGGCCCAGCAGUUCCACGCUUAGGAAUAUACCAAUGUCCCAUGUGUGCCAAAAGACUAUUAAAUCACUCAGAGCAACCCUAUUCAUAAAUAACCCCCAACCAGGAAACAACCCAAAUGGUCAUAAACAGUAAAAUAGAUAAAUAAUUGGUGGUAUAUUCAUACAACAGAGUACAUUCUACCACACUAAGAAUGAACAAUCUGCUUCCAAAUGCAGUAAAAUAUAUGAACCUUACAAAUGUGCUAAGUGAAAAAAGGGAGAUGUACAAUUGCGGGACUCCAUUUAUGUGAAGUACAGAAACAGACAAAAGUCAUUGAUGCUAUUCAAAGUCAGGAUAGUGGUUACCCUUGAGAGAGAGCUGAUGACUAGGAGAGAACACCAAUCGGCUUCUGGGGAGCUGGUAGUGUUGUUUCUUGAGCUGGGUACUGGUGUGUUCAGUUUGUGAAAAUUCAUUGAGCUGUACUAUUGAUAUAUGCAUCUCUGUGUAUGUAAAUUAUGCUUCAAUAAAAAGCUUUAAAAUGC